RNAcentral lists this ribosomal RNA (3705 nucleotides) under Triticum aestivum (bread wheat). Its description in RNAcentral is "partial small subunit ribosomal RNA". The record is from RNAcentral. Lineage: Eukaryota; Viridiplantae; Streptophyta; Magnoliopsida; Poales; Poaceae.
AUGGAUGACGAAGCCAUGAGAGGCAGAGGGGAGGAUGCAGAGAAGGGCGAGAGGGAGAGGAAGACCGAGGGGGCUAGGAAGGUGCCCUUCUUCAGCAUGUUCAGGUACGCCAGCCGUGCCGACAUGGCUCUGAUGGCCGUCGGCACCGUGGCGGCCAUGGUUAAUGGCAUGGGCGACCCGCUCAUGACCGUCGUCUUCGCCGCGGUCAUCGACUGUUUUGGUGCCGGCGACAACGUCCUCCAGCGGGUCAGCAAGGUUGUUAUGUACUACAUCUAUUUGGGAAUUGGGACGGCACUAGCUUCAUUUCUCCAGGUGUCAUGCUGGACAAUGACUGGAGAAAGGCAGUCAAUACGCAUCCGAUCUCUAUACCUCGAAGCUGUUCUAAAACAGGAUGUUUCAUUCUUUGAUGUGGAGAUGACAACUGGGGAAGCAAUUUCUAGAAUGUCUGCGGACACUGUAAUGGUCCAAGAUGCCCUUGGAGAGAAGGUAGGCAAGUAUGCACAGCUUUUGACAACCUUUGUUGGAUGUUUUAUCAUCGGAUUCGUAAGAGGCUGGAUGUUAGCUCUUGUUAUGCUCGCAUGCAUACCUCCAAAUAUUCUGUCUUUUGCAAUUAUGUCUCGGUUACGUUCUCAAAUAUCAGCCAGGAGGCAGGCAUCAUAUGCCGAUGCGGGCAAUGUCGUCGAGCAGACCAUUGGAGCUAUAAGAACGGUUAUCUCCUUCAAUGGUGAGAAGAAAGCAAUCGCAUUGUACAACACUCUCACAAAAAGGGCAUAUAAGGCUACAGUCUUGGAAGGGAUUGCCACUGGUCUAGGAACAGGCGGUAUCUUUUCUGUUUUCUUCUGCGGUUACUCUCUAGCCUUUUGGUAUGGUGCUAAGUUAAUCAUCAACGAAGGUUAUACUGGAGGGCAAGUCGUCAAUAUCGUACUUGCAAUGUUAACUGGUUCAAUGGCUAUAGGUACCGCAUCGCCCUCAAUUUCUGCUAUUGCAGAAGGGCAAUCUGCAGCAUAUAGGUUGUUUGAGAUAAUGAACAAAGAACCAAAGAUUGACAUCACCGACACUUCUGGAAUAGUAUUGGACGAUAUCAGGGGCGAUGUUGAACUCAACAAUGUGUUCUUUAGAUAUCCUGCAAGGCCUGAGCAGUUGAUACUUAAUGGGUUGUCUCUACAUGUACCUAGUGGUACUACAAUGGCUAUAGUUGGAGAGAGUGGAAGUGGUAAAUCAACAAUAAUUAGUCUGGUGGAGAGAUUCUACGACCCACAAGCUGGCAAUGUGCUGAUAGAUGGAAUCAACAUCAAGAGUAUGAAACUCCAGUGGAUAAGAGGAAUGAUCAGUCUUGUUAGCCAAGAACCAUUGCUUUUUAUGACCUCCAUCAAAGAUAACAUAACCUAUGGUAAAGAGGAUGCUACGCUUGAAGAGAUCAAGAGAGCAGCUGAGCUUGCAAAUGCAACAAAUUUCAUCGAAAAGUUGCCUAAUGCGUAUGAGACAAUGGUUGGUCAGAAUGGUGCUCAACUUUCUGGAGGGCAGAAACAAAGGAUUGCCAUUGCAAGAGCGAUCCUUAAAAAUCCAAGAGUCCUUCUGUUGGAUGAAGCUACUAGUGCUUUGGAUAUGGAGUCUGAGCGGGUAGUUCAAGAAGCAUUAAAUCGGAUCAUGGUAGGGAUAACUACACUCAUUGUUGCUCAUCGGCUGAGUACAGUCAGAAAUGCAGAUUGCAUAGCAGUGGUUCAUCAAGGAAAGGUAGCUGAACGAGGUGUCCAUGAUGACCUGAUAAAGGAUCCUGAUGGAGCUUAUUCUCAUCUUAUUCGGCUACAACAGGCCAAUACUGAAGAAACACCUGAGAUGCCAUAUGUGGCAGGUUCAAGAUUCAAAAGUACAAGUUUAUCUUUGGAACAGUCUAUCAAGGAUUCUCCCAGGAAUAGAAGACAACACUCCAGUAAAUCCGUUGGACUGUCUAGAUCGGAUGAUUUGUUCAGGCAUGUUGCUAGCAGAGAGGAACACCUGGAAAUUGGUGAUAGUGAGGCUCCAAAGAAAGCACCAAUUGGACGCCUUUUUAAUCUUAGCAGGCCAGAAGCACCAAUUCUCCUGUUAGCUAUCAUAGCUGCCACUGUGCAUGGACUUCUUUUCCCAUCAUUCAGUAUUAUGAUGUCUGGUGGUAUAAGAACAUUCUACUAUCCAGCACACCAACUUCGAAAAGAUUCAACAUUUUGGGCAUUGAUGUGCCUUCUGAUGGCAAUCAUUUCCCUGGUUUCAAUCCAAUUGGAAUUUUACUUAUUUGGAGUAGCCGGUGGGAAACUUAUAGAACGUGUCCGUGCUUUGUCUUUCCAAAGCAUCAUUCAUCAAGAGGUUGCUUGGUUUGAUGAUCCUUCGAAUUCCAGUGGCGCACUUGGUGCAAGGUUGUUUAUUGAUGCUUUGAACAUCCGACGCCUUGUAGGAGAUAACUUGGCCGUGCUAGUGCAGUGUGUCAUUCCUUUUCUGGGUUUGCAGAAUUAUAUCCAAUUGAGGUUUCUGAAAGGGUUCGGUGAAGAUGCUAAGGUGAUGUAUGAAGAUGCAAGUCAAGUUGUGGCUGAAGCAAUUGGUAGUAUUCGAACUGUAGCAUCUUUUGGUGCAGAGAAGAGAGUGAUUACCAUAUACAGCCAAAAAUGCCAGGCUUCAAUGAAACAGGGAAUUAGAAGUGGAAUGGUCGGAGGUGUUGGUUUCAGUUUCUCAAAUUUAAUGUUGUAUCUCACAUAUGCUCUUUGUUUCUAUGUUGGUGCACAGUUUGUACAUGACGGCAAAUCAACCUUUCAAAAUGUUUUCAGAGUUUACUUUGCCUUGGUUUUCACCGCUUUUGGAAUUUCCCAAACAAGUGACAUGGCAUCAGACUCAACAAAAGGUCGAGAAUCUGCGACAUCCAUACUAGCAUUCAUAGACAGGAAGCCCAAAAUUGACUCGACCAGUGAUGAAGGUAUAAAGCUAGAAAAAGUUGAUGGCACCAUAGAGUUCAACCAUGUAAGGUUCAAGUACCCAUCCCGACCAGAUGUCCAAAUAUUCAGCGACUUCACUUUGGGUAUUGCUUCCGGAAAGACUACUGCACUUGUCGGAGAGAGUGGAAGUGGCAAGUCCACAGUAAUUGCUUUGCUGGAGCGAUUCUAUGAUCCGGACUCUGGCACAAUCUCACUAGACGGAACAGAACUCAGAAAGUUAACACUGAGUUGGUUAAGAGACCAAAUGGGACUAGUAAGCCAAGAACCAGUACUUUUCAAUGACACAAUUCGUGCCAACAUAGCAUAUGGAAAGCGAGGAGAAGCAACUGAAGAAGAGAUAAUCACCGUGGCCAAGGCAGCCAACGCUCAUGAGUUCAUAUCGAGCUUGCCACAGGGAUACAACACUAACGUUGGUGAGAGAGGAACACAACUAUCUGGUGGGCAAAAGCAACGGGUAGCUAUUGCCAGGGCGAUCUUGAAGGACCCUAGAAUACUUCUGCUCGACGAAGCAACAAGCGCCCUGGAUGCUGAAUCAGAGCAUAUUGUUCAAGAUACACUGGACCAAGUGAUGGUCAGCAGGACCACCAUUGUCGUAGCACACUGCCUGUCGACGAUCAAAGGAGCAGAUAUGAUCGCAGUUAUCAAAGAUGGUUCAGUUGCCGAGAAGGGGAAGCAUGAAUCUCUCAUGGGCAUCAAGGGUGGAGUCUACGCAUCACUGGUCGAACUACACUCGAAGGCGGCAUAA